UCCCUUAUCCUUUAUCCUUAAUAUACACUAUAAUAACCAUAUAUAUUCUCUUCUUAUUAGCAUACCCGCCGGAGGC
RNAcentral lists this non-coding RNA (76 nucleotides) under uncultured Symbiodinium. The record is from RNAcentral. Lineage: Eukaryota; Dinophyceae; Suessiales; Symbiodiniaceae.